RNAcentral lists this ribosomal RNA (431 nucleotides) under uncultured bacterium. Its description in RNAcentral is "partial 16S ribosomal RNA". It matches the Rfam family "Bacterial small subunit ribosomal RNA", at positions 29 to 507 of the family's 1533-position model. The record is from RNAcentral.
AACGAACGCUGGCGGCAGGCUUAACACAUGCAAGUCGAGCGCCCCGCAAGGGGAGCGGCAGACGGGUGAGUAACGCGUGGGAACGUACCUUUUGGUUCGGAACAACUCCGGGAAACUGGAGCUAAUACCGGAUAAGCCCUAACGGGGAAAGAUUUAUCGCCGAAAGAUCGGCCCGCGUCUGAUUAGCUAGUUGGUGAGGUAACGGCUCACCAAGGCGACGAUCAGUAGCUGGUCUGAGAGGAUGAUCAGCCACACUGGGACUGAGACACGGCCCAGACUCCUACGGGAGGCAGCAGUGGGGAAUAUUGGACAAUGGACGCAAGCCUGAUCCAGCCAUGCCGCGUGAGUGAUGAAGGCCUUAGGGUUGUAAAGCUCUUUUGUCCGGGAAGAUAAUGACUGUACCGGAAGAAUAAGCCCCGGCUAACUUCGUG